UACGAAGGGGGCUAGCGUUGCUCGGAAUCACUGGGCGUAAAGCGCACGUAGGCGGCUUUUUAAGUCAGAGGUGAAAUCCUGGAGCUCAACUCCAGAACUGCCUUUGAUACUGGAGAGCUUGAGUCCGGGAGAGGUGAGUGGAACUGCGAGUGUAGAGGUGAAAUUCGUAGAUAUUCGCAAGAACACCAGUGGCGAAGGCGGCUCACUGGCCCGGUACUGACGCUGAGGUGCGAAAGCUAGGGGAGCAAACGGG
This 253-nucleotide ribosomal RNA is filed under the name uncultured bacterium. RNAcentral's name for it is "partial 16S ribosomal RNA". It matches the Rfam family "Bacterial small subunit ribosomal RNA", at positions 524 to 776 of the family's 1533-position model. The record is from RNAcentral.